ACUAAUCGUAGCUCAGGCAAUCUAAACAAAACUAACACACUUAAUUAAAACAAAACAUUUAUCUAUAUUAAAGUAUAGGAGAUAGAAAUUCUACCCGACGCUAUAGAAAUAGUACCGUAAGGGAAACAGAUAAAAAGUAAAAAAAAGCAAAGAUUACCCCUUCUACCUUUCGCAUAAUGAUUUAACUAGAACAAGCUUAACAAAAAGCCUUAAAGCUAAGCACCCCGAAACCAGACGAGCUAUCUUAAGACAGCUUCAAAGAGCACACUCAUCUAUGUAGCAAAAUAGUGAGAAGAUCUUAAGAUAGAGGCGAAAAACCAACCGAGCCUGGUGAUAGCUGGUUGUUCAGAAAAUGAAUUUUAGUUCAAAUUUAAACUUACCAAAAAAACUACAAUUUCCAUGUAAGCUUAAAUUAUAAUCCAAAGAGGUACAGCUCUUUGGAUCAAGGUUACAACCUUCCUUAGAGAGUUAAUACAUUACUUACCAUAGUAGGCCUAAAAGCAGCCACCAAUUAAGAAAGCGUUCAAGCUCAACAAACAACUUAACUUAAUACCAUAAACUCUAACUAACUCCUAAUCUAAUACUGAACCACUCUAUAUUUAAUAGAGGCAAUACUGUUAAUAUGAGUAACAAGAAAAAUUUUCUCCCCGCACAAACCUAUAUCAGAACGAAUACAUCACUGAUAAUUAACAGAACUUUAAGCAAACCCCAAAACUAAACCCCUUAUAGCCUACUCUGUUAACCCAACACAGGUGUGCAACCAGGGAAAGAUUAAAAGGGAUAAAAGGAACUCGGCAAACAUAAAUUCCGCCUGUUUACCAAAAACAUCACCUUUAGCAUUACUAGUAUUAAAGGCACUGCCUGCCCAGUGACAUCAGUUCAACGGCCGCGGUAUCCUGACCGUGCAAAGGUAGCAUAAUCACUUGUUCUCUAAUUAAGGACUUGUAUGAAUGGCCACACGAGAAUUUAACUGUCUCUUAUCCCCAAUCAGUGAAAUUGACCUUCCCGUGCAGAGGCGGGAAUAAAAAAAUAAGACGAGAAGACCCUAUGGAGCUUUAAUUAAUUAGCCCAAAAGAGCACCUAUCAAUCAACAAGAGAUAACACACUCUAGCCUGGGCUGAUAAUUUAGGUUGGGGUGACCUCGGAGUACAAAAAAACCUCCGAGUGAUAUACGCUUAGACCCACUAGUCAAAGCAAUAACAUCACUUAUUGAUCCAAUUACUUGAUCAACGGAACAAGUUACCCUAGGGAUAACAGCGCAAUCCUAUUCAAGAGUCCCUAUCGACAAUAGGGUUUACGACCUCGAUGUUGGAUCAGGACAUCCUGGUGGUGCAGCCGCUACCAAGGGUUCGUUUGUUCAACGAUUAAUAGUCCUACGUGAUCUGAGUUCAGACCGGAGUAAUCCAGGUCGGUUUCUAUCUAUUCCACGGUCCUCCUAGUACGAAAGGACAAGAGGAACGAGGCCUACUUCACCAUGCGCCUCCAAUCAACAAAUGCUACAAUCUUAAUUUGCUAGUAAGGAC
This 1523-nucleotide ribosomal RNA is filed under the name Emballonura beccarii (Beccari's sheath-tailed bat). RNAcentral describes it as "partial 16S ribosomal RNA". It matches the Rfam family "Bacterial large subunit ribosomal RNA". Lineage: Eukaryota; Metazoa; Chordata; Mammalia; Chiroptera; Emballonuridae. The record is from RNAcentral.